This 446-nucleotide ribosomal RNA is filed under the name uncultured bacterium. RNAcentral's name for it is "partial 16S ribosomal RNA". It matches the Rfam family "Bacterial small subunit ribosomal RNA", at positions 354 to 796 of the family's 1533-position model. The record is from RNAcentral.
GUGAGGAAUAUUGGUCAAUGGGCGCAAGCCUGAACCAGCCAUCCCGCGUGCAGGAAGACGGCGCUAUGCGUUGUAAACUGCUUUUCCAGGGAGAGAAACUUGCGCACGUGUUGCGCAAUUGACGGUACCCUGGGAAUAAGCAUCGGCUAACUCCGUGCCAGCAGCCGCGGUAAUACGGAGGAUGCGAGCGUUAUCCGGCUUCAUUGGGUUUAAAGGGUGCGUAGGCGGACUAUUAAGUCAGUGGUGAAAUCCUGCAGCUUAACGGCAGAACUGCCAUUGAUACUGAUAGCCUUGAGUUUGGUUAAGGUAGGCGGAAUGUGUAAUGUAGCGGUGAAAUGCUUAGAUAUUACACAGAACACCAAUUGCGUAGGCAGCUUACUGAGCCGACACUGACGCUGAGGCACGAAAGCGUGGGGAUCGAACAGGAUUAGAUACCCGAGUCGUCC